Molecule: ribosomal RNA, 617 nt
Filed under: Clostridium botulinum
Lineage: Bacteria; Bacillati; Bacillota; Clostridia; Eubacteriales; Clostridiaceae
Description: bacterial SSU rRNA
Rfam family: Bacterial small subunit ribosomal RNA
Source: RNAcentral
CGCCGCGUGGGUGAUGAAGGUCUUCGGAUUGUAAAGCCCUGUUUUCUGGGACGAUAAUGACGGUACUAGAGGAGGAAGCCACGGCUAACUACGUGCCAGCAGCCGCGGUAAUACGUAGGUGGCGAGCGUUGUCCGGAUUUACUGGGCGUAAAGGGUGCGUAGGCGGAUGUUUAAGUGGGAUGUGAAAUCCCCGGGCUUAACCUGGGGGCUGCAUUCCAAACUGGAUAUCUAGAGUGCAGGAGAGGAAAGCGGAAUUCCUAGUGUAGAGGUGAAAUGCGUUCAGAUUAGGAAGAACACCAGUGGCGAAGGCGGCUUUCUGGACUGUAACUGACGCUGAGGCACGAAAGCGUGGGUAGCAAACAGGAUUAGAUACCCUGGUAGUCCACGCCGUAAACGAUGGAUACUAGGUGUAGGGGGUAUCAACUCCCCCUGUGCCGCAGUUAACACAAUAAGUAUCCCGCCUGGAAGUACGGUCGCAAGAUUAAAACUCAAAGGAAUUGACGGGGGCCCGCACAAGCAGCGGAGCAUGUGGUUUAAUUCGAAGCAACGCUAAGAACCUUACCUGGACUUGACAUCCCUUGCAUAGCCUAGAGAUAUGUGAAGCCCUUCCGGGCAAG